UACAGAGGUCUCAAGCGUUGUUCGGAUUCAUUGGGCGUAAAGGGUGUGUAGGUGGCGCCGUAAGUCGGGUGUGAAAUCUCGGGGCUUAACUCCGAAACUGCAUUCGAUACUGCGGUGCUUGAGGACUGGAGAGGAGACUGGAAUUCAUGGUGUAGCAGUGAAAUGCGUAGAGAUCAUGAGGAAGACCAGUGGCGAAGGCGGGUCUCUGGACAGUUCCUGACACUGAGACACGAAGGCCGAGGGGAGACGAAA
RNAcentral lists this ribosomal RNA (252 nucleotides) under uncultured microorganism. RNAcentral's name for it is "partial small subunit ribosomal RNA". It matches the Rfam family "Bacterial small subunit ribosomal RNA", at positions 524 to 773 of the family's 1533-position model. The record is from RNAcentral.